This 253-nucleotide ribosomal RNA is filed under the name uncultured bacterium. Its description in RNAcentral is "partial 16S ribosomal RNA". It matches the Rfam family "Bacterial small subunit ribosomal RNA", at positions 524 to 776 of the family's 1533-position model. The record is from RNAcentral.
UACGGGGGGGGCAAGCGUUGUUCGGAAUUACUGGGCGUAAAGGGCUCGUAGGCGGCCAACUAAGUCGGAUGUGAAAUCCCCAGGCUCAACUUGGGAACUGCAUCCGAUACUGGAUGGCUUGAGUUCGGGAGAGGGAUGCGGAAUUCCAGGUGUAGCGGUGAAAUGCGUAGAUAUCUGGAGGAACACCGGUGGCGAAGGCGGCAUCCUGGACCGAGACUGACACUGAGGAGCGAAAGCCAGGGGAGCAAACGGG